RNAcentral lists this transfer RNA (73 nucleotides) under Danionella translucida. It matches the Rfam family "tRNA". Rfam says of the family: Transfer RNA (tRNA) molecules are approximately 80 nucleotides in length. The record is from Rfam by way of RNAcentral. Lineage: Eukaryota; Metazoa; Chordata; Actinopteri; Cypriniformes; Danionidae. RNAcentral also lists the same sequence under 1 other name.
GUUUCCCUAGUGUAGUCGUCAUCACGUUUGCCUCACACGCAAAAGGUCCCCAGUUCGAAACUGGGCGGAAAUA